GAGGACAGGAUGAGGUUUCCGGCUUCCCAGGCAGCAAGGCUCUUCUUCUUCCUUAGUCUUCCCUCCUCUUCGCCACGCCAGGCCUCCUCUCUUUGCCAGGGAGGCUUCUCUUCUCAGAGCCCAAUUCUGGGAUGGCGAGAGCGAGGAAGGGCUGAGCUGGGCGGACUGGCCUUGCAAGGGUUAAAGGGGACCGAGCUGCCUUCCUAGAGAGGCCAGGAAGCAAGGGGGGCCAAGUCCUCCAGAGCCAAUCCCCCCCCCUUCCCCAGUCCUUUCCUGCCUCGCUGUCCCUCCUGGGAUCUGGUGAGUCUCCUCUCUCUCUGGGAUCUGGUGAGUCUCCUCUCUCUCUGGGAUCUGGUGAGUCUCCUCUCUCUCUGGGAUCUGGUGAGUCUCCUCUCUCUCUGGGAUCUGGUGGGGGUCCCAGGGCUGCAGCAGGGGAGGGGCCUGGGGGGACCCCAAGUCAGGGAGGAGAGGGUCAGGGGUGCAAAGACCCCCCCUUAUGCUCCUGCUACCCAGAGGAGGAAGGAGCCCCGGGGCUGAGAGCCAGAGCUUUUUGCCAGACUCCCCAGGAGGAAGAUCAGGGCAGGAGAGAGCGGGGGGGGGGGGACCCCAAGUCAGAGAGGAGAGGGUCCUGCCAGGGAGGGGCCAGGUCUGCCACGCUCUCCUUCCUGCAGAGUAGAGGAUCCCAAACUCAUUUGACCCUCCUCCCCCCCCUUUCAGAAAAGAUCUCCCUUCUGUAAACAAAAGAAUCCCUGGACUUUAACUCUCUGUGACGUCUCUCAGCGUCACUGCACAAAAGAGGAAACAUCUGCAAAUGGUUUUCCAAAGCUGGACGAGGAGGUGGACUAGCCCCCCCCCCCAGAAAACCCCACGGGGAGGGAGGAAGAAAAGGUGGGAGAGAAAGGAGAGGAGUAAAGAGAGGGAUCCCAGCCCAGAGUCUGGCUGCUGCAUUGGGGACCAGUUUCCCGGUGUCUCCCAGGGCAGCUCCCCACGGAGGCCACGGCAGCAAUCCCCUCGCACCCAGAGCAGGGCAUCCCAGGACCACAUCCUCUCUCUCCCAAAGGGAUUGUUGCUGGCAAAGCAACCGGAAAUGGGCGCUGCUACUCACUGAGCCUCCAGGGACCUGGGCAUCAAUGGCUGUGUGUGUGUUCAGCCAUCUAAGAGAAUAAUAAUAAUAAGUUAGCUUCCUAAAUUUCAAGGGCAAUGUCUUUGGCCCUCAGGGGGUUUGCCAGGUACAUACCUGGCCCUCAGAGCAAAGAAAAAGGGACCCCACCCCAGGAGUCUGUCUUGAAAGUGGCAGAGUCCAAGUGCAAGAAAAGAAGAUAGAAUUUGGGCAACUAGCUGGUUUUAAGCUUAAUAAGGCCAAGAUGAAAAGGUUAACUAAAAAUACAGUUUAAGAUAUGGUGGAAGAAUUGCAAGGCAAGUCUUUGGGAAUAUGGUUAACAGCAAAGAGUAUGAAUUUAGCUGGCCCUCAGAGCAAAGAAAAAGAGACCCCACCCCAGGAGUCUGUCUGGAGAGCGGCAGAGAGUCCAAGUGCUAGAAAAGGAGACAGAAGCAGGGGGGAAAUGUGCCCAGAAGUGGGGGUGGGGGGAGCAACUCCUGAGGACCCCCGGGUGAGGACCCCCACUAGAGCCAAGCAUCCAUUUUUCACAAGAUGCAAAUGACUCCCUUGUCAGUCAGUUCCAAAUUCAUGCAUUUACUUUACGGAAGCAUUUAAUCUUUGAUGCAUUACUGUAUUUUAAUAUUUUGUUGGAAGCCUCCCAGAGUGGCUGGGGAAGACCACCCAGAUGGGUGGGGUAUAAAUGAUAAUGUAUGUGGGGGGUGGGGGUGGGAUGGAUGUUUGGUUGGGCUUGGGGACUUUUUUUGGAUUUUGAUGUUUUUGUAAUUUUUACAGUUUUUUGUUUGUAUUGUUUUAUUGGUUUUGUUUGUUUGUUUAAGGUGUUAUUUUGUUCUUAAGGGGAGGGGUCAGGGCUGCCGGGGAGUGGGCCCCAGCCCACAAAAUGGCUGGGGCAUGUUCCACAGGGGGGGAUGCACUGGGACAACCAAUCUCAGUGAUCACGGGUAGGAGGAGGAGUUACGCUAAGACCAGACCAUGUCAUUACAGAGGAGGCAGGUUUAGUCGUUGUCUGAGGACUAUUCCUGCCUCCGGGUCUGGUCCUGACCGGAUGGAUACUAGAAUCAGCAAGGGAUACCCACAUGACCUGAAAGUGUUGCUGUGCAAUGCCAGGUCAAUGAUUCAUAAGACCACUGCCAUCCAUGACUUGAUCAUGGGUGGAGGACUUGACCUGGCAUGUGUAACAGAGACUUGGUUGGAUGAAGCAGAUGGGCCUGUCCUUGCCGCUGCUUGUCCACCAGGUUUCCAUUACACACACAGCAACCCAGGUCAUGUGGCGGGGAGGGGGGGUUGCAGUGAUUUUUAGGAAGUCAUUAGUUUGCACCAGGCGUCCUAUUGGGAAGACCCAGUUCUCUGAGUGCAUGUUCUGGAAGUUGGACAAUAGGGGCAGUUACAGGAUUCCUUUUGGUGUACCGACCUCCCCGCUGCACCAAGGAUUCCCUGCCCGAGCUGCUUCAGGUCGUGGCGGAUGUUCUCCUGGAGACACCUAGCUUGGUCGUCCUAGGGGAUUUUAACAUCCAUGCCGACACGACCUUACAAGGGGCCGCUCGGGACUUCGUGGAAAGCAUGGCCUCCAUGGGGCUGUCCCUGAAUAAGUCUGGCCCAACCCAUAGUUGCGGACAUGCCUUGGACCUGGUGUUUACCUCUAUGGAUGUUGGUGAUCUGACACUAAGUAAAAGCGAAACGAAAGAAGUGCCAUGGUCAGAUCACUUCCUGGUGCAACUGGACUUCUCCGCGACCCUUCCCCUCUGCAGGGAGGUGGGACCAAUUUGGAUGGUCCGCCCCCGCCACUUAAUGGAUCCAAAUGGUUUCCAGAGAGUGGUAGGGGAUGCUUUAUCCCAUGUUGAUGGCCUUUCAGUUGAUUCCCUGGUGUCCCGCUGGAAUGUGGAGUUAACCAGGGCUAUUGACUGUUUGGCUCCGAAGCGCCCUCUCCGAUUGCAUGGAGCCCGGACAGCCCCAUGGUUUUCCACGGAUCUGAGGGCAAUGAAACAAUUGUUGAGACGGCUAGAGCGCCGGUGGCGGAUAACCCAUUCUGAAUCUAACCGGACACAGGUUAGAGCUCAAUGUCGAGCCUACCAAGUGGCGAUAGCGACGGCGAAGAAGAAUUUCUUCACCGCCUCUAUUGCAUCUGCAGAAAACAGCAGCAGGAGACUUUUUCAGGUGGUUCACAAUUUAGCGGAACCACCUGCGACAUCUGCGCCCAGUACGGGCCACAUGAUCUCCUGCAAUGAUUUUGCAAAGUUUUUUGCAGAUAAAAUCGCUCAGAUUCGGGAAGAAGUAGACUCCACCGUGGGAGCACGGCCGGGGCGGGAGAGUGCUAGAGUUUUGUCUAGUCAAGUUGAGUGGGAUCAAUUCCAAUCUGUUACCUCUGAGGAUGUGGACAGGCUGCUUGGACGAGUGAAACCAACCACCUGUCUCCUGGAUCCUUGCCCAUCCUGGCUUAUAAAAGCUAGCCUGGAAGGGCUGGGCGAUGGGCUUCAUGGGGUGAUGAAUGCUUCCCUCCAUGUAGGAGCCUUCCCAGACCCGCUGAAAGAGGCGGUUAUUAAACCGCUUCUUAAAAAACCAUCUUUAGAUGCGGCCACGAUGGCCAACUAUCGCCCAGUCUCAAAUCUUCCAUUCUUGGGCAAGGUGAUUGAGCGAGUGGUUGCUGAACAACUCCAGGCACACCUGGAAGAAGCGGACCAUUUGGAUCCCUUCCAGUCAGGAUUCAGGCCUCAUCAUGGGACUGAAACUGCCUUGGUCGCACUGGUUGAUGAUCUCCGGCGGGCUAGGGACAAAGGUGAGAGCUGUUUCCUAGUUCUGCUGGAUCUCUCAGCAGCGUUUGAUACCAUCAACCAUAACAUCCUUCUGGACCGUCUUGAGGGGCUGGGAGCUGGGGGCACUGUCAUACAGUGGUUCCGCUCCUUCCUCCUGGGCCGUGUUCAGAAAGUGGUGGUGGGGGAUGAGUGUUCAGACCCCUGGGCUCUCACUUGUGGGGUGCCUCAGGGUUCUGUCCUCUCCCCCAUGCUUUUCAACAUUUGACAUGCAGCCGCUGGGAGAGAUCAUCAGGAGGUUUGGGCUGGGUGUUCAUCAGUAUGUGGAUGAUACCCAGCUCUACCUCUCUUUUAAAUCAGAACCAGUGAAGGCAGUGAAGGUCCUGUGUGAGUGUCUGGAGGCGGUUGGAGGAUGGAUGGCGGCUAACAGAUUGAGGUUGAAUCCUGACAAGACAGAAGUACUGUUUUUGGGGGACAGGGGGCGGGCAGGUGUGGAGGACUCCCUGGUCCUGAAUGGGAUAACUGUGCCCCUGAAGGACCAGGUGCGCAGCCUGGGAGUCAUUUUGGACUCACAGCUGUCCAUGGAGGCACAGGUCAAAUCUGUGUCCAGGGCAGCUGUUUACCAGCUCCAUCUGGUACGUAGGCUGAGACCCUAUCUGCCUGCGGACUGUCUCGCCAGAGUGGUGCAUGCUCUGGUUAUCUCCCGCUUGGACUACUGCAAUGCGCUCUACGUGGGGCUACCUUUGAAGGUGACUCGGAAACUACAACUAAUCCAGAAUGCGGCAGCUAGACUGGUGACUGGGGGCGGCCGCCGAGACCAUAUAACACCGGUCUUGAAAGACCUACAUUGGCUCCCAGUACGUUUCCGAGCACAAUUCAAAGUGUUGGUGCUGACCUUUAAAGCCCCAAACGGCCUCGGUCCAGUAUACCUGAAGGAGCAUCUCCACCCCCAUUGUUCUGCCCGGACGCUGAGGUCUCAUUGCAAGAAGCAAAGUUACAGGGAACCAGGCAGAGGGCCUUCUCGGUAGUGGCGCCCGUCCUGUGGAACGCCCUUCCAGCAGAUGUCAAAGCGAUAAACAACUACCUGACAUUCAGAAGACAUCUUAAGGCAGCCCUGUUCAGGGAAGUUUUUAACGUGUGAUAUUUUACUGUAUUUUUGGUUUCUAUGGAAGCCGCCCAGAGUGGCUGGGGAGGCCCAGCCAGAUGGGCGGGGUAUAAAUAAUUUAUUAUUAUUAUUAUUAUUAUUAUUAUUAUUAUUAUUAUUAUAUUAAUAAUAGUUGUUGUUGUUAAUUGAAUUGAUAUACCACCCUUCAUCAAAAGAUCUCAGGAACAUUGAAAACAUAGAACUCAUAAAAAGUAUACAAAUGAUACAUCACCUCAAAUCCUUUAAUCAGGCGAGUUUCCUCCUUUCGAAAGAGGCAGGUGGAAUCUCCACAGUUGCUAAUAGAAUAACGUUGAAAGGCUAGUGAAAUAUGGGGAACCAAGAGCAUCUGCUUGGCAUGCAGAAUUAUUAUUAUUAUUAUUAUUAUUAUUAUUUACUGGAAGGCAGCAGCAACCAGGCUGAUUCACAUCACAUAAAUCCCUUCCGUUGCCUCCACAUUUUGCAUUGCAAUCUUCCUUCCAGGAGGGCUAGAGUAUGGUUACCAGAUAUUUUUCAAUGAAUCCGGGGACACUUUUUUUUUUGGAAGCUGAGUAGCAACAGGGAGUCAGUAGUGGGGAUGGUGAGGCAAAAGACCCUGGCUCCCUCUCCUUCUGCCAGAAGCCCCCUCCCUGCUUGUCUCUCAGAGCCCGGAGACGUCUGACAAUGGAGGAGCAAAGGCAGGCUGCACUGUUGGAUCGCUUGAACCCCAGAGCGGAGGGGACUUGGAAAGCUGUGGGGAGCCAGGGGCCUUCACUCUCAGCAACUGAUUUCAUGGAGGAAGAGGCUCAGGGAAUUCUGCUCAAUACUGACCCAGAGCAGAACUCCAAUGUAUAGUUAGCAGAGUAAAAUCUAAACAUGUUGCAGGAUCCCCCAAAAUAGAUCAGAGGCAAUUGUAUUUCACCCAGCAGAGCUUUACUGCUACUGAAGACAAAUGAGGAUACUGGUCACAGAUCCAAAAUGUACAGGAUUGGCCCUGUCCAUCAGAAAUCCAGUUGCAGCAGACUUAACCUAAACUUACCACAACUUAUUAUAAGUCUAAACCUUAACACUUAACCUUAACCUUAACACAUACUAUGUACAGAACACCAGAGGGAAGAGAGAGAGAGAGAGAGAAAUUGAAACCCCGGCUCCUUCUGGCCUCUUCUUACAGUCAGCUUGACCUUGACAGAAGAGAGAACAGAGCCACUUUAACCCAGCUGUACUCAGCUUCUCGGAAGGAAUAACCCAAACAUCAGGAACCUUCUGCUUGUUUCUUUUACGCAGAGAAGCUUCCGGAACCCUCUUGAAUUAAAUAGUAUGGGAAAUAUCAAUAUCAGAUCCAUCCUUUCUGCACUCAGAAAUGCAAACUGACAGACCCUCUGGGAAUGAGCUGCUCUUCUCAUUCGGCCUGAAACUCAGCCAAGUCUGUGAAUAUUGUGUUCUUGCUGAUAAAGAGUUAACUCCAGCUGUGAACUGUGGGAUUUCCUGCCCAGAUAACUCUGUGACACCAGCCUUCUGAAUGUCGCCUGUAGGAUUCAUCUGUAGUUGCAGCUUUCAUGGAAUCCUAGAGUUGAAAGGGACCCCAAGGGUCAUCAAGUCCUGCAUUGCAGACGAGAACAAAUAAUGUCCAGGAUUCACCUAGCCAGCCCCAUCUGCUGCGAAAUAUAGCCUGCCCCCCACUCCUCGAUGCCCCCAUGAACCCCUUGAAUUUGGCUCUAGGGCAUUGAGAGGGAACCUCCCCAGAACAACUCACUAGGAGAGGAGAAAGUGGAUCCUUCCAUCAGGGAAACUAGAAUGCUUGCGUAGGCAGAAUAACGUGGAAAACACAAGGCGGAGUACAAAGAUGAAUACCCAGAAUAAAAGAAUUCCAUUAAAGCGUUAAAAUAAGCAUCCAUAAUAAAAAUGUGCAGCAAAGCAAUCCUACUGAAACAACGCAGCAAUUAAGAGGAAGGAAAGAACAGAGCAUUGUUUAGCAGAUCAUAUUGAUCCUGUUUCAGAGGAGGACAUUUCCGUUUUUCUUUUAGGGUGCAGUUUGCUUUGAAGACAUCUCUGUUUGUUUCACUGAAGAGGAGUAGGCGUUGCUGGAUCCUGACCAGAAAGCUCUGCACAAGGGCAUCAUGGAGGAGAAUCGUGGGAUCGUGGCCUCUCUUGG
RNAcentral lists this long non-coding RNA (7136 nucleotides) under Podarcis lilfordi (Lilford's wall lizard). Lineage: Eukaryota; Metazoa; Chordata; Lepidosauria; Squamata; Lacertidae. The record is from RNAcentral.